RNAcentral lists this ribosomal RNA (1554 nucleotides) under Staphylococcus aureus. Its description in RNAcentral is "16S ribosomal RNA". It matches the Rfam family "Bacterial small subunit ribosomal RNA". The record is from RNAcentral. Lineage: Bacteria; Bacillati; Bacillota; Bacilli; Caryophanales; Staphylococcaceae.
UUUAUGGAGAGUUUGAUCCUGGCUCAGGAUGAACGCUGGCGGCGUGCCUAAUACAUGCAAGUCGAGCGAACGGACGAGAAGCUUGCUUCUCUGAUGUUAGCGGCGGACGGGUGAGUAACACGUGGAUAACCUACCUAUAAGACUGGGAUAACUUCGGGAAACUGGAGCUAAUACCGGAUAAUAUUUUGAACCGCAUGGUUCAAAAGUGAAAGACGGUCUUGCUGUCACUUAUAGAUGGAUCCGCGCUGCAUUAGCUAGUUGGUAAGGUAACGGCUUACCAAGGCAACGAUGCAUAGCCGACCUGAGAGGGUGAUCGGCCACACUGGAACUGAGACACGGUCCAGACUCCUACGGGAGGCAGCAGUAGGGAAUCUUCCGCAAUGGGCGAAAGCCUGACGGAGCAACGCCGCGUGAGUGAUGAAGGUCUUCGGAUCGUAAAACUCUGUUAUUAGGGAAGAACAUAUGUGUAAGUAACUGUGCACAUCUUGACGGUACCUAAUCAGAAAGCCACGGCUAACUACGUGCCAGCAGCCGCGGUAAUACGUAGGUGGCAAGCGUUAUCCGGAAUUAUUGGGCGUAAAGCGCGCGUAGGCGGUUUUUUAAGUCUGAUGUGAAAGCCCACGGCUCAACCGUGGAGGGUCAUUGGAAACUGGAAAACUUGAGUGCAGAAGAGGAAAGUGGAAUUCCAUGUGUAGCGGUGAAAUGCGCAGAGAUAUGGAGGAACACCAGUGGCGAAGGCGACUUUCUGGUCUGUAACUGACGCUGAUGUGCGAAAGCGUGGGGAUCAAACAGGAUUAGAUACCCUGGUAGUCCACGCCGUAAACGAUGAGUGCUAAGUGUUAGGGGGUUUCCGCCCCUUAGUGCUGCAGCUAACGCAUUAAGCACUCCGCCUGGGGAGUACGACCGCAAGGUUGAAACUCAAAGGAAUUGACGGGGACCCGCACAAGCGGUGGAGCAUGUGGUUUAAUUCGAAGCAACGCGAAGAACCUUACCAAAUCUUGACAUCCUUUGACAACUCUAGAGAUAGAGCCUUCCCCUUCGGGGGACAAAGUGACAGGUGGUGCAUGGUUGUCGUCAGCUCGUGUCGUGAGAUGUUGGGUUAAGUCCCGCAACGAGCGCAACCCUUAAGCUUAGUUGCCAUCAUUAAGUUGGGCACUCUAAGUUGACUGCCGGUGACAAACCGGAGGAAGGUGGGGAUGACGUCAAAUCAUCAUGCCCCUUAUGAUUUGGGCUACACACGUGCUACAAUGGACAAUACAAAGGGUAGCGAAACCGCGAGGUCAAGCAAAUCCCAUAAAGUUGUUCUCAGUUCGGAUUGUAGUCUGCAACUCGACUACAUGAAGCUGGAAUCGCUAGUAAUCGUAGAUCAGCAUGCUACGGUGAAUACGUUCCCGGGUCUUGUACACACCGCCCGUCACACCACGAGAGUUUGUAACACCCGAAGCCGGUGGAGUAACCUUUUAGGAGCUAGCCGUCGAAGGUGGGACAAAUGAUUGGGGUGAAGUCGUAACAAGGUAGCCGUAUCGGAAGGUGCGGCUGGAUCACCUCCUUUCU